Molecule: transfer RNA, 74 nt
Filed under: Mimica arnoldii
Lineage: Eukaryota; Rhodophyta; Florideophyceae; Gigartinales; Solieriaceae
Description: tRNA-Glu
Rfam family: tRNA
About the family: Transfer RNA (tRNA) molecules are approximately 80 nucleotides in length. Their secondary structure includes four short double-helical elements and three loops (D, anti-codon, and T loops). Further hydrogen bonds mediate the characteristic L-shaped molecular structure. tRNAs have two regions of fundamental functional importance: the anti-codon, which is responsible for specific mRNA codon recognition, and the 3' end, to which the tRNAs corresponding amino acid is attached (by aminoacyl-tRNA synthetases). tRNAs cope with the degeneracy of the genetic code in two manners: having more than one tRNA (with a specific anti-codon) for a particular amino acid; and 'wobble' base-pairing, i.e. permitting non-standard base-pairing at the 3rd anti-codon position.
Source: RNAcentral
GCUCCUAUCGUUUAACUUGGUUAAGACAAUGUUUUUUCGUGACGUUAAUGUGAGUUCAAAUCUCACUAGGAGUA